RNAcentral lists this ribosomal RNA (253 nucleotides) under uncultured bacterium. RNAcentral describes it as "partial 16S ribosomal RNA". It matches the Rfam family "Bacterial small subunit ribosomal RNA", at positions 524 to 776 of the family's 1533-position model. The record is from RNAcentral.
UACGAAGGGGGCGAGCGUUGUUCGGAAUUACUGGGCGUAAAGGGCGCGUAGGCGGCGUGACAAGUCACUUGUGAAAUCUCUGGGCUUAACCCAGAACGGCCAAGUGAAACUGUUGUGCUAGAGUGCAGAAGGGGCAAUCGGAAUUCUCGGUGUAGCGGUGAAAUGCGUAGAUAUCGAGAGGAACACCAGAGGUGAAGACGGGUUGCUGGGCUGACACUGACGCUGAGGCGCGAAAGCCAGGGGAGCAAACGGG